This 502-nucleotide ribosomal RNA is filed under the name uncultured bacterium. RNAcentral's name for it is "partial 16S ribosomal RNA". It matches the Rfam family "Bacterial small subunit ribosomal RNA", at positions 28 to 523 of the family's 1533-position model. The record is from RNAcentral.
GAUGAACGCUAGCGGCAGGCCUAACACAUGCAAGUCGAGGGGCAGCACAGAAACAGCAAUGUUUUGGUGGCGACCGGCGGACGGGUGCGUAACGCGUAUGCAACCUACCUUUAACAGGGGGAUAACGGAGAGAAAUUUCCACUAAUACCCCAUAACAUCGAUCAAGGCCUCUUGAUUGGUUGAAAACUCCGGUGGAUAAAGAUGGGCAUUCGUUGUAUUAGGUAGUUGGUGAGGUAAUGGCUAACCAAGCCUACGAUACAUAGGGGGAUUGAGAGGUUAGCCCCCCACACUGGUACUGAGACACGGACCAGACCCCUACGGGAGGCAGCAGUGAGGAAUAUUGGUCAAUGGGGGCAACCCUGAACCAGCCAUGCCGCGUGCAGGAAGACGGCUCUAUGAGUUGUAAACUGCUUUUAAACAGGGAUAAAGCACAGUAUGUAUACUGUGUUGAAGGUACUGUAAGAAUAAGGAUCGGCUAACUCCGUGCCAGCCGCCGCGGUAA